UAGAUGAAAGCCAAAAAGAGGCGCCUAGCUGUUAAUUAGGAGAUUGUAGUAGAAUCUACUCAUUUAG
RNAcentral lists this transfer RNA (67 nucleotides) under Conus goudeyi. RNAcentral's name for it is "tRNA-Asn". It matches the Rfam family "tRNA". From Rfam's summary of the family: Transfer RNA (tRNA) molecules are approximately 80 nucleotides in length. Their secondary structure includes four short double-helical elements and three loops (D, anti-codon, and T loops). Lineage: Eukaryota; Metazoa; Mollusca; Gastropoda; Neogastropoda; Conidae. The record is from RNAcentral.